This 433-nucleotide ribosomal RNA is filed under the name uncultured bacterium. RNAcentral describes it as "partial 16S ribosomal RNA". It matches the Rfam family "Bacterial small subunit ribosomal RNA", at positions 29 to 507 of the family's 1533-position model. The record is from RNAcentral.
AACGAACGCUGGCGGCAGGCCUAACACAUGCAAGUCGAGCGAGGACUUCGGUCCUAGCGGCGGACGGGUGAGUAACGCGUGGGAACGUGCCCUUUGCUUCGGAAUAGCCCUGGGAAACUGGGAGUAAUACCGGAUGAGCCCUUUGGGGGAAAGAUUUAUCGGCGAAGGAUCGGCCCGCGUUGGAUUAGGUAGUUGGUGGGGUAAUGGCCUACCAAGCCGACGAUCCAUAGCUGGUUUGAGAGGAUGAUCAGCCACACUGGGACUGAGACACGGCCCAGACUCCUACGGGAGGCAGCAGUGGGGAAUCUUAGACAAUGGGGGAAACCCUGAGCUAGCCAUGCCGCGUGAGCGAUGAAGGCAUUAGGGUUGUAAAGCUCUUUCAGCUGGGAAGAUAAUGACGGUACCAGCAGAAGAAGCCCCGGCUAACUCCGUG